RNAcentral lists this non-coding RNA (28 nucleotides) under Mus musculus (house mouse). Lineage: Eukaryota; Metazoa; Chordata; Mammalia; Rodentia; Muridae. The record is from RNAcentral.
UGCCUAAAAUGCUGUUCCAGUCCAGUGU